This 1043-nucleotide long non-coding RNA is filed under the name Theobroma cacao (cacao). RNAcentral describes it as "long non-coding RNA (TCAC_LNC003797)". Lineage: Eukaryota; Viridiplantae; Streptophyta; Magnoliopsida; Malvales; Malvaceae. The record is from RNAcentral.
ACACAAAUACCAAUUCAGCCAUUCAUGCAAAUAUUGUCAUAAGCCAUUCGAUUCAAAUCAUGAAUUUACAACACAUGAAAACAGUCUCCAAUUACUCUAUUUUCAAACCAUCAUUCAAUUUCAAGACAAUUUAUAAAAUCAUUUCGUUUAAACACAUUUUGUUUAUAAAACAUAAAGAUUUACCAUCUAAACUCAUUUUCCAUAAAAUCACAAAAUCAGAUAAAAAUCACUUUAGAUAAUUAAGACGAUAGUAAGGUUACUCACUGUACUAGGAGUUCGAUAUACUCUUAUUCUCGAUCUUCGGGCACAAUCUCUUUACCCUUGUUGGAGGGCUCACCACCUAUACAUCAUGCGUGAUACGAAUUUCAAUAAAUUGUGUCAAUUUAUCAUAAACUAUUUCAAGCUCUAUAAAUCUAUAUGAAUGCACAAAAUGUGAUGCAAAAUGUCCGAAGAGUCGUUUAAAUAUGGUAUUCGACCCAAUUCGUACUAUUAUAAGUGUAAUUGGCUAAAACCUCCAAUUUAACUCCAAAUUGAUUUCUUUUAGUUUCUACACUCCAAUUAUACUUAAAAUACCUCAAUGACUAUGAAUAUGAUUCAAUUUAUCAGUCUGAACCAUAAAUCGCACAUGUCUAUACAUUAGGUAAAAAUUCAAAUUUUCAUGCCAAAAUUUCCCAUUAAAUUUCUAGCCUCACCAAUCAUUAAAUACCACCAAAAUAUCAUGAAAUAUCAUCAAUUUCAGCCUCAAUAUGCUCCCUAGAAAAUUUGGCCUUUUGUGGGUUUGUGAAGAACAAAGUGAUUCCUUGCUAGAUUUUCAUACUUUACAUUACCAAACAACCAAAAACACUUAAUUACCUUGAAAUCUAGCAAAAUCAAUGCUCAAAACCUCUCCUUUCAAAUUCGGCCAACAUGGGUUCAUCAUGCAAACUUGAGUUCUAAGCAUGGGUAGUGUAAAUCACAAGAUAAAAUGACAAAAUUUUACCUUUAUUAGCUUAAUCCCUUGAAAUCCCACACUUUUUCUUCAAUUUUCCCACCUAGGGUUCUUA